Stegodyphus dumicola is the source of this 360-nucleotide long non-coding RNA. The record is from RefSeq and is a predicted model, not a curated record. NCBI's taxonomy places the organism in Eukaryota, Metazoa, Arthropoda, Arachnida, Araneae, Eresidae.
CAGAAUUGAUAUUUUAAAUAGAGGAAAAUCAAUUCUACGGUCAUUGGUCAUGAAUUUUCAAAACUUGAAUAAUAAAACAUUUUUAGUAUGUAUUUCAUUGAAAAUUUACGCAAUUGAUUCUAUGAUUUAACGCUUUACUAAUUCCAACGAAUCAAGCACCAUGUUUUACCUUAUGAUUUAUUAAUUUAUGGAGAAGAAGGCAUGUUAAGAAACUCGACUCUAUGAAAACAAUGUGUUGCUGCAGCCGGAAAUAAAAUUCUUUUAUCUUCCACGCUCCAGCGUGUUGCUAUUUAGUAAAGCCUAAGAUGCUUUCAAAUGUAAUCUGCAACGUUACUGAAUAAUAAACUGAUUUAAAAGCAA